This 305-nucleotide ribosomal RNA is filed under the name uncultured bacterium. RNAcentral describes it as "bacterial SSU rRNA". It matches the Rfam family "Bacterial small subunit ribosomal RNA", at positions 335 to 638 of the family's 1533-position model. The record is from RNAcentral.
UGCCUACGGGAGGCAGCAGUGAGGAAUAUUGGUCAAUGGGCUUACGCCUGAACCAGCCAAGUCGCGUGAGGGAAGACUGCCCUAUGGGUUGUAAACCUCUUUUGUCAGGGAGCAACGCCGGCUACGUGUAGCCGGACUGAGAGUACCCGAAGAAAAAGCAUCGGCUAACUCCGUGCCAGCAGCCGCGGUAAUACGGAGGAUGCGAGCGUUAUCCGGAUUUAUUGGGUUUAAAGGGUGCGUAGGCGGAAUGCCAAGUCAGCGGUAAAAUCGUGGGGCCCAACCCCAUCCCGCCGUUGAAACUGGCG